Molecule: ribosomal RNA, 433 nt
Filed under: uncultured bacterium
Lineage: Bacteria
Description: bacterial SSU rRNA
Rfam family: Bacterial small subunit ribosomal RNA
Source: RNAcentral
GAUGAACGCUGGCGGCGUGCUUAACACAUGCAAGUCGAACGAACCUUCGGGUUAGUGGCGGACGGGUGAGUAACGCGUGAGAAUCUGCCCUCAGGAGGGGGACAACAGCUGGAAACGGCUGCUAAUACCCCAUAUGCCGCGAGGUGAAAUGAAUUUCGCCUGAGGAUGAGCUCGCGUCUGAUUAGCUAGUUGGUGUAGGUAAUGGCUCACCAAGGCAUCGAUCAGUAGCUGGUCUGAGAGGAUGAUCAGCCACACUGGGACUGAGACACGGCCCAGACUCCUACGGGAGGCAGCAGUGGGGAAUUUUCCGCAAUGGGCGAAAGCCUGACGGAGCAACGCCGCGUGAGGGAUGAAGGCCUCUGGGCUGUAAACCUCUUUUAUCAAGGAAGAAGAUCUGACGGUACUUGAUGAAUAAGCCUCGGCUAAUUCCGUG